Molecule: non-coding RNA, 135 nt
Organism: Triticum aestivum (bread wheat)
Lineage: Eukaryota; Viridiplantae; Streptophyta; Magnoliopsida; Poales; Poaceae
Source: Rfam
UACGUACUCCCUCCGUCUGAAAAUACUUGUCAUCAAAAUAAAUUAAAGAGGAUGUAUCUAGAUGUAUAUUAGUUCUAGACACAUCCCUUUUUAUCCAUUUUGAUGACAAGUAUUUUCAGACGAAGGGAGUACUAC